UUGUCCCUAGAUGGCGCAUGGCGAAUUAGUUUCAGCCACUGACAGCAGACAGCAUGUUACACUUCAUUUUGUUCUGGACAGAAGGAAGUGAGUUUUCCCCAGAUUCAUCGUUUGGCUUUAUUUAACGUGAAGCUAUUAAAGAAAACUCCAGACGAUACGGAGGUCAAUGACAACUCGUAAUAAGGAAGAAAGAGAGAAAAGAAAACUUUAGAGUCUGACAAGAUGGAAAACGAAAUACUGUUGGGAGAGUCGAGAAUCUGGAGUGGAGAUAUCACGUCUGAACUUAAAACACUGAACACCCUGAAAUUCUCUAAAUUUAUUGCUCAUUGGCCAGCAAGCAAAAAUGCAACAUCUGAUGAUUUUUAUCUUGCAGUGAACGGAAGAGAACACUUGGUGCAAGAUCAUAAUUUGGUUUAUCGUGUAUGUUCGCGUAGUUGUUGCUGUGGUACGUUGUUGCAGGCUUGCUGCCUAUGCUGGGUAUAGAUCUUUCUGCAUCAAAUUUAACUGGCCGUUACUUGGUGCUGGUGUCGUGUUACCGAAGUUGCAUUAUUUUAUGAAAUUAGCAUUGUGUCAAUGUAGUUUAACGUUAAUAUGUUAAGAAGGAACGAAAAAGAAAUAUGGGGAUGUUUAUGUCAAACAAAUAAUAAACAUGUUUCGGGAUUGGGAAAGGAAAGUGGAGGAUGUUGGAGGAGGCAUAUUUCAAGUUUGGAUAAAGAACAGUUAAUUUAUAACCCUACAUAUAUAUCCCUACCAAUUAAUCUCCAAACCCCACAAACCUAUACCUUCCAAUUCUUCAGACCCCACAAACAUACACCUACAAACCCUCAAAUGUAUACCCUAAACCACCUAAACCAAUGUUAAACCCUAUGUCUGUAAUAAAUAAAAAAAAUUUAUACAAUAAACUAGCUUUUAUUAUUUUUCUAAAAUGUACAAAAA
Long non-coding RNA from Daphnia pulicaria, 936 nucleotides. RefSeq lists it as uncharacterized. The transcript has 3 exons. The record is from RefSeq and is a predicted model, not a curated record. NCBI's taxonomy places the organism in Eukaryota, Metazoa, Arthropoda, Branchiopoda, Diplostraca, Daphniidae.